AAUAGCUCGGUCAGUUGAGCAUGGCGCUGACAACGCCAAGGUCGCGGGUUCGAUUCCCAUUU
Apaloderma vittatum (bar-tailed trogon) is the source of this 62-nucleotide transfer RNA. It matches the Rfam family "tRNA", at positions 6 to 65 of the family's 71-position model. Rfam says of the family: Transfer RNA (tRNA) molecules are approximately 80 nucleotides in length. NCBI's taxonomy places the organism in Eukaryota, Metazoa, Chordata, Aves, Trogoniformes, Trogonidae. The record is from Rfam.